This is a long non-coding RNA of Podarcis raffonei (Aeolian wall lizard), 450 nucleotides long. RefSeq lists it as uncharacterized. The transcript has 2 exons. The record is from RefSeq and is a predicted model, not a curated record. NCBI's taxonomy places the organism in Eukaryota, Metazoa, Chordata, Lepidosauria, Squamata, Lacertidae.
UCUCUCCUGCCCAUCGACCUGGAGCGUAGCAGAAACAUUCUAAUACUUGGAGAGCUGUUGCCAAGACAACCAGGAAACUGUUGGCUGGGAGAAGAACUGGAAGGGAGAAGAGAUUCAAAAUGACUGUUCUCUGUUCCGUAUGCUGGUGGCAUACUUCUCCCAUCAUAUGUCCCCCUGCAAGCCACAUUAAGAGGGUACUGGCCCCUCCACAACUCAAAAUACAUACUCUGGCCCUCACCUCAAACAGCAGCAAUGGCAAUACCAGAUCCUCCAAGGGCCCCUAUUUUCCAGUCCCAGAGUUACAGAAGCUGUCACGAGUGGAUGUCCUCCUCCUCCACGUCAAAAUGCAAAGAGAUGUUUCUUCUUGGUUCUGGGUCUCUCUUGCCUCCUUGCCAGGAGGGGAGGGAAUUCGGUUUCAACAGAAAAAUAAAGAUCUGCCUUGCUUUCUCU